GGACUGCGUGUAUGUUCCCUCUUGUUAUAGAAGAUAUGAACUUAUCACCAUAAUUGCAGGUUGAUGAAACCCAGUCUCGGUUGGCAUCUGAAGGCAUUGCACGGUACGAGUGGACAAAAUAUACAUGGUUCCCUUCAGUGUCAUCCAAAAUUCCCGAGUUUUUGGUUAUUUGAAUAGUAUUCCAGCCAAUAUGUGGUACUGUAAGAGCACUAGAGUCAA
RNAcentral lists this unclassified non-coding RNA (219 nucleotides) under Hevea brasiliensis (rubber tree). The record is from RNAcentral. Lineage: Eukaryota; Viridiplantae; Streptophyta; Magnoliopsida; Malpighiales; Euphorbiaceae.